AGAUAUCAUCCUUGUGUGAGACCCAGGUUAGGUCUCACAGGUAAAAAUGGUUAAAAUAUGUGUUGGUUAGAACCACCUUCACCAAUAACUAAAUUAAAAAUUAAAAAAAAAUUAUAUGAGAUUAUAUAUUGAUUUAGUGUUUCUUAAAAUAAAUUAUAAUAUGAUGAAAUACGGUUGUAUAUAAAAAAAAGAAAAAAGAAAGAAACCUAAGAACCCUUGAAAGCACAACGAAGAAGCAAAUUAAGGAUCAUGCCUCAUUAAAACCUUUGCAGGGAAAACACAAUCAAAGGAAAAAAGAGUGCUCGUCUAUACAACAAUCCACAACAGAAGAGAGAACCCGAACAAAAAAGGAUGCCACGGACAUGAACUCCGGACUAACCAUCACCCAAGCCGUAGCACCCCAACCGGUAAAGAAAGG
Molecule: long non-coding RNA, 418 nt
Filed under: Salvia miltiorrhiza (redroot sage)
Lineage: Eukaryota; Viridiplantae; Streptophyta; Magnoliopsida; Lamiales; Lamiaceae
Description: long non-coding RNA (SMIL_LNC009988)
Source: RNAcentral